Long non-coding RNA from Tupaia belangeri chinensis (Chinese tree shrew), 436 nucleotides. RefSeq lists it as uncharacterized. The transcript has 3 exons. NCBI's taxonomy places the organism in Eukaryota, Metazoa, Chordata, Mammalia, Scandentia, Tupaiidae. The record is from RefSeq and is a predicted model, not a curated record.
AAGACCAGAGAUAAAGUUUCAGAUACAGAAAAUUGCUGGUGCAAGGACUCCUAAGGCAGGGAGAAGAAGAGGUUGCCUGACUUCUCAUUUGCUCAGAGAAGAACUCCAGAAAGCCGCACAACAGCAAAGGGUGAAAUCAAAUUCCAGGGACCCAGGGAGAGACAAAGCAGGGAUAGAAACGACUUCACCUAAACCAAAGAUAAAAGAGGCAAGGAAACAUCCUGGAAAUGGCCUCAGAGAACCACAUGCCAAGCCCAGUGUGUCUCAUUGAGAACACUGAAGGGCAGCUAGUGGCCAAUCAGGACGCUCUGAACAUCCUGUCCGCCAUUACGCAGCCUGUCGUGGUGGUGGCUAUUGUGGGCCUCUACCGCACAGGCAAAUCCUACCUGAUGAACAAGCUGGCUGGGAAGAAAAAGGGUGAGUGGCGUGAUCUUGG